UUUCGCAAUGCCCGAAAGGGUGACGAAGCGACGCCGCGUGAGUGACGAAGGCCUUCGGGUUGUAAAACUCUGUCAGGGGUUAGGAAAUAUAAAUUCAAGAAUAUUGGGUUUGUUUGACAAAGGCUCCAAAGGAAGCCACGGCUAACUCUGUGCCAGCAGCCGCGGUAAUACAGAGGUGGCAAGCGUUGUUCGGAAUUAUUGGGCGUAAAGAGCGCGUAGGUGGAUUUGUAAGUCAGAUGUGAAAGCCUUCUGUUCAACGGGAGAAUUGCAUCUGAAACUACAGACCUUGAGUAUAGGAGGGGAGAAUGGAACUUCUGGUGGAGCGGUGAAAUGCGUAGAUAUCAGAAGGAACGCCGGCGGCGAAAGCGAUUCUCUGGCCUAUUACUGACACUCAGUGUGCGAAAGCUAGGGGAGCAAACGGGAUUAGAUACCCCGGUAGUCCUAGCCGUAAACGAUGGGCACUAAGUAGAGGGGUUUUA
This 479-nucleotide ribosomal RNA is filed under the name uncultured bacterium. Its description in RNAcentral is "bacterial SSU rRNA". It matches the Rfam family "Bacterial small subunit ribosomal RNA", at positions 364 to 833 of the family's 1533-position model. The record is from RNAcentral.